This 1259-nucleotide ribosomal RNA is filed under the name Loweina terminata. RNAcentral describes it as "16S ribosomal RNA". It matches the Rfam family "Bacterial large subunit ribosomal RNA", at positions 667 to 2570 of the family's 2925-position model. Lineage: Eukaryota; Metazoa; Chordata; Actinopteri; Myctophiformes; Myctophidae. The record is from RNAcentral.
UUUAGCAAGAACACCUGAGCAAAAAGAAUUUUAGUUCAGCCCCCCGAAACUAGACGAGCUACUUCAGGACAGCCUGGAAAAAUAUUUCCCCGUAGGGCACACCCGUCUCUGUCGCAAAAGAGUGGGAAGAUCUUCAAGUAGCGGUGACAAACCUACCGAGCCUAGUUAUAGCUGGUUGUCUAAGAAAUGAAUGUAAGUUCAGCCUCCUGACCUCCCCCAUCAACGGCACCACGCCUCUACAGAUAAACGACUAGUCAAGAGAGUUAGUCAAAGGGGGUACAGCCCCUUUGAAAAAGGACACAACCUCUACAGGUGAAAAAAGAUCAUACGACAUAAAGGAAACUAAUUUUAGUGGGCCCAAAAGCAGCCACCUACAAAGAAAGCGUUGUAGCUCCUAUAGUCCCCAAGCCCUUAAUACCGAACCCCGCUCUUCACUCCCUAACCACUAUUAGACCCUCCCAUAAACCCUGGGAAAGACCCUGCUAAAAUGAGUAACAAGAGGGCACGCCCCUCUCCCCUCACAAGUGUAAGUCGGAACGGACCAACCACCGACAAUUAACGAACCCCCAACGAGGGAAGUGUAGGACUACACAAAUAACAAGAAAACUAUACACAAAAAUUCGUUACCCCAACACAGGUGUGAACCCACGGAAAGACUAAACCAAAGGGAAGGAACUCGGCAAACACAAGCCUCGCCUGUUUACCAAAAACAUCGCCUCUUGCAAAAUUAACGAAUAAGAGGUCCCGCCUGCCCAGUGACUACGUGUUAAACGGCCGCGGUAUUUUGACCGUGCAAAGGUAGCGCAAUAAAUUGUCUCCUAAUUAGAGACGAGUAUGAAUGGCAUCACGAGGGCUUAACUGUCUCCCCUUUAAAGUCAGUGAAAUUGAUCUCCCCGUGCAGAAGCGUGGAUACACUCGUAAGACGAGAAGACCCUACGGAGCUUUAGAUAUAAAUCAACCCACGUCAAAACCCCCCCCGAAAGGAAAAGAACAAAGUGUACUUUUGAUGGAAUAUCUUUGGUUGGGAUGACCGCGGAGAAAAAUAAAACCCCCGCACGGACGGGCCAACCAGCCCUUAAAAAUAGACCCACAGGUCAAAUUAACAGUACUUCUGACCGCCAGACCCGGCAAAAGCCGAUCAAUGGACCUAGUUACCCUAGGGAUAACAGCGCAAUCCCCUCCAAGAGACCCUAUCAACGAGGGGGCUUACGACCUCGAUGUUGGAUCAGGACAUCCUAAUGGUGCAGUCGCUAUUAAGG